CUAAUGGCGCACCGCUCGGGGGUGCGCCAUUGCUAACCCUCCCCCCUAAAAUCCCAGUCCCCUUUCUAUCUGCCCCAAUCCAUCUCUCACCCGCCCACUACCCCGACCCGUACUGCGCCGCCGCGGCCCUCACGCCUCCGCCGCCGCCCCGCGCCUCCCAUCUCGCUUCUCAGUUCUCUCCCCACUCCCCAGAUCUGGCAACAUUGCUCCGGUAUAGAAGGACCCCUCCUCCCACGGUCGUCGGGCCCUCGUCCUCCACCCCAUAGCCACCGCGUCCGACCUCCACCGCGCCGCUACCUUCCUCCCUCAUCGGCAGAGCCCGCCCCCUAGUAGUCUUCCACACACCCAUGGACGACGACGACAGUGACGCGGCAGCCGCCUCCCUCCUGCGCGUCUCUUCUGGCGACGGUACCGCACCCAUCUACGACGCGUGCUGCACAAAAAGCGCGAUGGAGGCGGGCGGACCCAAGCUGGACGCGUGGGGUGGAUCCCCGUACACCCCAUUCUCUCGCCUCGGCGUGUCUCAUGGGGGAACUCGCGGCCCUCAACGGUGGCGAGCGAGGAGGCUCCCGCUGCAGCUCCGAGCACCUUCCCGACAUGCUGCGUGGCCUAGACGGCCAAGGUAAUCCCUUAUUCCUUCCCCAUCCUGCCAAGUACGUACAUAGCUUGCAGCAAUGUCAAGUGCUGCUGCUUCCUUGGGCAGACUAGCGCCGCCGAUCCGGAUGUUUGCCACAUACUUUUUUUUUCAGAGAGAGGAACGGACACUCGUAUCCGGAAUAGAUACCAUAGUAUGUUUUUUUGCAAGAGAUCCGUGGAACUCAAAUAAAACUCUAAGUAUAGGGAUGAAGUCAUCUAGGAAAUCGAUCUGAGGACUAUGGUGAAGUUACAAAAUAAAAAUCAAAUCACUUGCACAUAUCAAACUGACUUCUGAGCAGGAAUUUGGUUGCUCCAUAGAAGUUGCAGGUUUGCAAUUUGUUCUUUCUUGAGUUCCACGGAUGUAUAGCUCCCUGAGUUGUUUGGCUGUUUACAUGCAUGUUUAUGGGCUAUUUUGUGCAACUAAAUAAAUUCAUUUAUGGUUGUCAGAUACUCAUGUCCUUUAUUAGCUUGAUGAGGUACACCUUAUGUAGGACUGAAUUAAAAAUGUUACACUUCUCGGUGAAAACUUUAUCUAGCAUAUGCAAUGUUAUGUUCUAUGAGCAGUGUCAAGUUAGAAGAAUAAGUUAUGCAUCUGAAAACAAAUCUCUUCUUGUUUCAUAUUCAAAGAAAAUAAGUUAGUUGUUGAGUGUUUACUUCCCAAGUGACAACUGAGUAAUAAAAAAUGGCAAGCCAGAAUGUGCUAGCUAUUUGCCAAUUUGUCGUAACAUGGAUGUAAAGAGAUGGCAGCAGUUUAUGCACAUUUCUUGACUUGAACAGAUGACUAUCUAGAUUCAAUUGGGACCGCUAAGGUUGGCACCUUUCUCUCUCUUCCUUGGAGCUGCAUGAUUCCGUUCGAGUUGCUUAUCUCCACUUCCCCUGAUGCGAUUUCCCUCCUCACGUAGGUUAGGUAGGAGCACAAAGGUAGAUUGAAAAUUACCAGCAAGUCCAUCUCCUACUUCGACUGCAAUGUAAUGUUGAGUCUCACUUGCUUUCUUCCCUCUCUUUUCUCUUCUUAUCAGAGCAAAGAUGCAUUUCAGGCGAUGAACUCAACCAUUGCUCUGGGUUUGUGUGUGUGUGUGAGGGUGAGAGAGGGAGAAGUUGUUAGCUUUAAGUUGUCUUGUGAUUUCGUUUCCACUUGAAUCUGCUAUAUGACAUCUUCCAUGUUGUUUGUAUUACACCGUCGCGUCUCAUGUAACUUAUGAGGCUGGAGAUAUGUGCUUUCACUGCUUACUUGUGGAUCUGAAAGUUUUUCUUUGAUUAGAUGGUGUUGGUUGCAACAGAAUAGUAGAAUGCAUUGGCUAGCAGAUGUGAGGUUAUUCGGCUUUAAGUAUACAAUAAACGAAUGCAUUUACUUGACAGUGUUUGUAAUCUGCAUGAAAAGUUUAUCCUCUAAAGAAGCAAAUUGCGUCAUGUCCUGUGCAUACGCCCAAUUGUUUAUUAUAUGGAAGAAAAAUAUAAGAUGCCAAUCUGAUACACUCUUCCUAGUGUAAUAUUGUCAUUUCCUGCUUGUGGUAUUUACUUUGCAUUCACUGAACAGGCGUAUCUACUCUGUAUAACAAAGGUCCUGAUACAUAAUUUCAUUCACAAUUCUGUAUGGGAGGUUGGAUUGUCCUAUGCUUCGUUGACUCUUGAUUAUCUUAUCAUAACCGACUAGUAUUGAAGUUGAUGUUGUCGCAUUCGAUUGUUUUUGAAGAAUUCUGGGAAACAAAAAAUGUUUGAGAAUGCAUUGAACCUGCAUGUUGUAGAUGUGCUUACUAACGUUUCAUGACAUUGUCAGUCUUUUCAAGUUACUAAUAACAUGGUAUUCUGGAGUUGCUGAUAACAAUCAGCUUAGUUGUAAUUGUUGAUGGAAGUGGGUGUUGCUUUUAUGUUAUGCUCCCUCCGUCCCAAAUUAAUUGACUUACAUUCAUCUAGAUAUGGAUGUAUCUAACACUGAAACGUGGUUAGUCAUGUCCGUAUGUAGACAAAUCUGAGUCAACUAAUUCGGGAUGGAGGGAGUAUUGUUCAGUGAGCUUUUUAUAGAGGUACAAGCUGGUCUUUGUGUUCAGAGGCUUGAUAUGACUGUUAACUCUAUAUUGUUUGGCUGUGUAUAUUUGCAAAUGAAUAUUGAUGCUAAUCACAUAGACGAAAUAUGCAGGUCAUGGUCUUAAUCACGUGCGAUGGAUUAACAUAUUUCCUUCUUUUUGCUAUGAUUGCAAUGUGGCUGCUGAUGACUCACUGUCUUCGAAAUGCUUUUUAUUGAUCAAUAAAACUAUUAACAAGCCCUGUUAAAUAAUAACAAGCUCUGAUUAUCUGUUUUCAGUGAGAUUGCGAAGAACUUGCCACUUGCACCAGUAAAGCUCCAUUACACUAUGCCUGCUGAAGAUGCAAUUAAAAUCAAAGAAGGUGAAUCUGGGAGACAGCCUUGGAGAGACACCUUUGAAAGGUUCGUUUAUUAUUUCAAACUGCUUCGUUUUGUAGAUCAUGCCCCAAAAUAAAUAGGUCUCAACAUUAUUGCUGCUAGUAGUUGAUAGUCUAUCAAUUGGGUUGAGGCAGUUUAUGUUCAUUUUUCUGAUGUAUACUUCUAUUUCUCUGCAAGAUGUAUGAUACCCAUAUUAGCAAAUCUUAAGUGGUGAAGUCGAUUCAUGACCGUAAUGCUUGCAGUCUUGACCCCCCCCCCCUCCGGGUCACUGGUCAUGAUAAGCAUUUCAUAUUGUACAAACAAAAGUUUUGUUUUUCAUUGAGCUUUUUUGUGUCAAGCAAUAUGUGUAACUCCAUCUUAGCUUGCAGAAUACACAAGAACUGUUAGUUUUUAAUGCUUUUUUGUAUUUUUGUCCUAUUGUUGUAUCGACACAGUUUUAGUUCCUUUAGGUACACUUUACUUACCUUAAGCUCUCAACUAUUUGUUUGUUGUGUUGUUGGCUUAAUAAAACUGAUGUAACUCAGUUUCUUGUAUGUACCCAUGAGGACCGUCAUGGUAUCCACCCACACCCUCUUGUUGGCUUUCUAUGCGGUGCCUCAGCGUCCUAUAGAUGACCGAAAGCUUGCAGUAGCAUCAUCAUCAUCUCUGUCUCCUUCCUCACGAGCUUCAUGUCGUAGAUGAGGUCGCAACCGAGGUAUGCCCUCCUCUCCUCCCUUCUCCUUCCUAUCAAGUGCUUGUGUGAAAAGCAAUUUUAACCGAAAACCAAUCUCUGUUUGUUGUGAAGUGUAGUACAUAGUGUUAUUUUUCCUGCUCUUAAAUUUUACAGGUUGAGAAAUAUGUAGGUUAACAUCAUUUGGUUGAUAUUUUGCUUCUUGGUCUUUGUAGGAGUUUUAGUUUUGUAGUGUCUUUUAAUUUGAUAUGAUUUCUAUUCUUCAAAAAUAUAAAUCAUGAGAGUAAAACUAAAUCUUCUUGUUGCAGUUUCGCAGUGCUCUUUUAGUUUGAUAUGAUUUCUAUUCUUCAAAAAUUUAACUUUGGAUACUCAUGCGUGUGCUAUUGAACUUAUAGGUUUGCAUCACGGAUGCCGUCGACGGUGGGCAUACAUGCUGUGGCGGAAGCUCAUGGCAUAUUGUAGGUUGAACUCAUGCUUUUGUUUGUUAAUUCUUGUUGCAUAUGUACACAUGUUGUGAACCGUCCUUGAAUAUGUAUGUGUGUUUUUGUGAAACUAUGUUGGAUAUGUAUGCAUGUGUGGACUUUGAACUCAUCAUCGGUUUGUUAUUUUUGUGAACAUGUAAUAUAUUGGAUAUGUAUGCAUGACCAUUUCAUUUGUGAAUUCUUGUUGCAUAUGUACGCAUGCUUUUGUGAAACUAUAUUGUUGUUGUGAUCUAUUGGAUAUGUAAUAUAUUGUUGUUGUUGUUGUGAUCUGUUGGAUAUGUAAUAUAUUGUUGUGAUCUAUAUUGUUGUUGUCAUGAUAUAUUGGAUAUGUAAUAUAUUGUUGUUGCCAUUAUGUAUAAAUCGUGUGCCCGUUGGCACUCGACUUACAUGGGGACAUUCGGCUUAUAUGUAAGCCGAGUGUUUUCACUAUUGCUCUCGGCUUACCCCGG
This 4638-nucleotide long non-coding RNA is filed under the name Hordeum vulgare. RNAcentral describes it as "long non-coding RNA (HVUL_LNC019065)". The stretch from base 2506 to 2640 matches the Rfam family "MIR1120/MIR1122 microRNA precursor family". Lineage: Eukaryota; Viridiplantae; Streptophyta; Magnoliopsida; Poales; Poaceae. The record is from RNAcentral.